CGCGGCGGUGGCGCAAGGCAUGCGGCGUGGCCUGUUCUCGAACGAGGCGGGCCUCGGUUCGGCGCCGAACGUGGCGGC
Molecule: transfer RNA, 78 nt
Filed under: Limimaricola soesokkakensis
Lineage: Bacteria; Pseudomonadati; Pseudomonadota; Alphaproteobacteria; Rhodobacterales; Paracoccaceae
Description: tRNA-Ser
Source: RNAcentral